GAUGAACGCUGGCGGCGUGCCUAAUACAUGCAAGUCGAGCGAACGGACGAGAGGCUUGCUUCUCUGAUGUUAGCGGCGGACGGGUGAGUAACAUGUGGAUACCCUACCUAUAAGACUGGUAUAACUUCGGGACACCGGAGCUAAUAGCGGAUAAUAUUUUGAACCGCAUGGUUCAAAAGUGAAAGACGGUCUUGCUGUCACUUCUCGAUGGAUCCGCGCUGCAUUAGCUAGUUGGUAAGGUAACGGCUUACCAAGGCAACGAUGCAUAGCCGACCUGAGAGGGUGAUCGGCCACACUGGAACUGAGACACGGUCCAGACUCCUACGGGAGGCAGCAGUAGGGAAUCUUCCGCAGUGGGCGAAAGCCUGACGGAGCAACGCCGCGUGAGUGAUGAAGGUCUUCGGAUCGUAAAACUCUGUUAUGAGGGAAGAACAUAUGUGUAAGUAACUGUGCACAUCUUGACGGUACCUAAUCAGAAAGCCACGGCUAACUACGUG
Molecule: ribosomal RNA, 497 nt
Filed under: uncultured bacterium
Lineage: Bacteria
Description: partial 16S ribosomal RNA
Rfam family: Bacterial small subunit ribosomal RNA
Source: RNAcentral